This 23-nucleotide microRNA is filed under the name Monodelphis domestica (gray short-tailed opossum). Its description in RNAcentral is "Mdo-Mir-92-P2c_5p* (star (passenger))". Lineage: Eukaryota; Metazoa; Chordata; Mammalia; Didelphimorphia; Didelphidae. The record is from RNAcentral.
CGGGUGGAUCACGAUGCAAAUUU